CAGUAAACAUUGCUUCUUGCAGCUUGAAGAGUAUUCUUUUAUUUUAAAAUGGUAUCCGCGGGCGCGCUGUACCAAAGUCAAGAGCAGGAAAGGGGCCUCGGAGAGGAGGGUGCAGAAUCGGAACCAGCAGGACAGAGAGGAAUCCAGAGCUGGACUGGCCAUGGAAAGGACUCAAAUUGAAGAUAUAUCUAGGGAGGUGCCUGUUGAUAACACUUCCGGUUUCAGACAACCCUGUGUGAUACCCUUUGGACCCUGAAUAUUGGGACUUCCUGUGCUGUGCUCAUAAGGCAUUAUGUAAGACACAUGAGGGCACAUUCCCAGCGAUGGAUACUCACUGAGAGUCCACUGUGAGCUGGUCCCUGUAGACAAGGGUCAGUAACUCACACGUGCCGGAGUCAGGAAGCCUGCAGCCUCCUAAGGGAAGACAUAUCUGCAAAUAAAAAAUAGAGUACAGAGUGCUGAAUGCUGUGGCAAAGACAAACACAGGUACUGUGAGUUUUAGGUAAGACACACCCACCCACUGGGAGCAGGAGGUAAGCAAGGAAGGCUUUUCUCAAGGGGAGGAAGUCCCUUUUAGUUGAGUCAUGAAGGAUGGG
This 596-nucleotide long non-coding RNA is filed under the name Equus asinus (donkey). Its description in RNAcentral is "lncRNA (ENSEASG00005024942.1)". Lineage: Eukaryota; Metazoa; Chordata; Mammalia; Perissodactyla; Equidae. The record is from RNAcentral.